Molecule: long non-coding RNA, 415 nt
Organism: Phlebotomus argentipes
Lineage: Eukaryota; Metazoa; Arthropoda; Insecta; Diptera; Psychodidae
Exons: 4
Source: RefSeq, a predicted model, not a curated record
GCCACUAGAGCAGUGCAAUUGUGGUGCAGCAGACGUGUGUUCUCGGCGAUCCUCUUGGAUUUGGGAUGUGCUCAAGGGGAGUGGCACAGGAUAUGAGACGGCCUCCCGAUUGGAGAUGGUGACAAAGUAUGGAUAUUAAUGUGACCGCUGCGCCGAGGGAGCUUCGGGGCGGAAUGGUGAUGCAUUCCGGCAGAUGUGGGACACGCGCUGAAUGGCAGAGACAGAGAGAGAGAGGAAAGGGUGAGUUUUCGAAGAAUGUAAAGUUUGGCUGAAGGAAAACUCAUGAACAUUUCUCUAUUGACCAUUAUCAAAUUAUUGGCUCAUUUUCCUCACAUUUUGUCGCUGGUGGAGAGGCGAUAAAAAUCCCCCAUUAGGCACUUUUAAUAUUGCCGCCGAGUGUGAAGGCGAAAAGCGU